Molecule: ribosomal RNA, 253 nt
Filed under: uncultured bacterium
Lineage: Bacteria
Description: partial 16S ribosomal RNA
Rfam family: Bacterial small subunit ribosomal RNA
Source: RNAcentral
UACGGGGGGGGCAAGCGUUGUUCGGAAUUACUGGGCGUAAAGGGCUCGUAGGCGGCCAACUAAGUCGGAUGUGAAAUCCCCAGGCUUAACCUGGGAACUGCAUCCGAUACUGGAUGGCUUGAAUCCGGGAGAGGGAUGCAGAAUUCCAGGUGUAGCGGUGAAAUGCAUAGAUACCAUCAAGAACACCGAUUGCGUAGGCAGCUUACUAGGCUGUAACUGACGCUGAGGCACGAAAGCGUGGGGAGCGAACAGG